GACCUCAAAUCAAGUAAGAUUACCCGCUGAAUUUAAGCAUAUUAAUAAGCGGAGGAAAAGAAACUAACAAGGAUUCCCCUAGUAACGGCGAG
RNAcentral lists this ribosomal RNA (92 nucleotides) under Chloroparvula japonica. RNAcentral describes it as "partial Eukaryotic large subunit ribosomal RNA". It matches the Rfam family "Eukaryotic large subunit ribosomal RNA", at positions 1 to 93 of the family's 3401-position model. Lineage: Eukaryota; Viridiplantae; Chlorophyta; Chloropicophyceae; Chloropicales; Chloropicaceae. The record is from RNAcentral.